Molecule: ribosomal RNA, 1050 nt
Filed under: uncultured eukaryote
Lineage: Eukaryota
Description: SSU rRNA
Rfam family: Eukaryotic small subunit ribosomal RNA
Source: RNAcentral
GUCUCAAGAUUAAGCCAUGCAUGUCUAAGUAUAAGCACUUGUACUGUGAAACUGCGAAUGGCUCAUUAAAUCAGUUAUCGUUUAUUUGAUUGUACCUUACUACAUGGAUACCUGUGGUAAUUCUAGAGCUAAUACAUGCGAAAAGUCCCAACUUCUGGAAGGGAUGUAUUUAUUAGAUUAAAAACCAAUGCAAGUCUUCGGGCUCGUUUUCUUGGUGAUUCAUGAUAACUUUUCGAAUCGCAUGGCCUAGAGCCGGCGAUACUUCAUUCAAAUUUCUGCCCUAUCAACUGUCGAUGGUAAGGUAGUGGCUUACCAUGGUUAUAACGGGUGACGGAGAAUUAGGGUUCGAUUCCGGAGAGGGAGCCUGAGAAACGGCUACCACAUCUAAGGAAGGCAGCAGGCUCGAAAAUUACCCAAUCCCGACUCGGGGAGGUAGUGACAAGAAAUAACGAUACGGGGUCUUAAUAGGUCUCGCAAUUGGAAUGAGUACAAUUUAAAUCCUUUAACGAGGAUCAAUUGGAGGGCAAGUCUGGUGCCAGCAGCCGCGGUAAUUCCAGCUCCAAUAGCGUAUAUUAAAGUUGUUGCAGUUAAAAAGCUCGUAGUUGGAUUUCGGAGUGGGCCAGUUGGUCCGCCGCAAGGUGUGUUACUGACUGGUUUGCUCUUCUUCGCAAAGACUGCGUGUGCUCUUGAGUGAGUGUGCGUAGAAUUUACGACGUUUACUUUGAAAAAAUUAGAGUGUUCAAAGCAGGCUAUUGCUUGAAUACAUGAGCAUGGAAUAAUGGAAUAGGACUUUGGUCCCAUUUUGUUGGUUUCUAGGGCCGAAGUAAUGAUUAAGAGGGACAAUUGGGGGCAUCCGUAUUUCGUUGUCAGAGGUGAAAUUCUUGGAUUUACGAAAGACGAACAACUGCGAAAGCACUUGCCAAGAGUGUCUUCAUUAAUCAAGAACGAAAGUUAGAGGAUCGAAGACGAUCAGAUACCGUCCUAGUUCUAACCAUAAACGAUGUCGACUAGGGAUCAGCGGGCGUUAUCGUACGACCCCGUUGGCACCUU